GACGAACGCUGGCGGCGUGCUUAACACAUGCAAGUCGAACGGAAAGGCCCUGCUUUUGUGGGGUGCUCGAGUGGCGAACGGGUGAGUAACACGUGAGUAACCUGCCCUUGACUUUGGGAUAACUUCAGGAAACUGGGGCUAAUACCGGAUAGGAGCUCCUGCUGCAUGGUGGGGGUUGGAAAGUUUCGGCGGUUGGGGAUGGACUCGCGGCUUAUCAGCUUGUUGGUGGGGUAGUGGCUUACCAAGGCUUUGACGGGUAGCCGGCCUGGGAGGGUGACCGGCGGCCAUUGGGACUGAGGACGGCCCAAGCUCCCACGGGGGGGCAGAGGGGGGAAUAUUGGAAGAAGGGCGGGAGGCUUGUGACACAAACGCGGGGGGCGGAAGGACGGCUUGCGGUUGAAAAACGGUUUUCGCCGGUAAGAAAGCGUGGGUGACGGAAUGGAAAAAAGAAGCCCCGCCUACUUACGUC
RNAcentral lists this ribosomal RNA (469 nucleotides) under uncultured bacterium. Its description in RNAcentral is "partial 16S ribosomal RNA". It matches the Rfam family "Bacterial small subunit ribosomal RNA", at positions 28 to 507 of the family's 1533-position model. The record is from RNAcentral.